UGCCAUUAUAGAAUGAUAUCCACAUACCGACGUAGUAAUGUUACCAUUAUUCUAUUUUGAUUCAUACAUUAUUAUUUUCCAAGCAGAGAUUAGAGAGUGCCGUCCUUCCUGCACCACUGAUAAGGAAAAACCACAUCGGAAAAUCCCGAUGAUCUUUCUCGGCCAAUGCAAGGAUCGAACACGCGAUCCCCAGGCCAGCGAGCCUAACGUGGCUCCCAUACAUUCAUAGGGCAGAUGAACCGAGAUCAAUAUUUACAGAAAUACUUACAGAAUCAGACAUGGUAGCUGGAUAUAAUAAAAUGUAAUAAUGGAUGAGAUUAAUAAGCUGUAGAUAAAGCUCUGUGGUCAA
This is a long non-coding RNA of Patella vulgata (common limpet), 349 nucleotides long. RefSeq lists it as uncharacterized. The record is from RefSeq and is a predicted model, not a curated record. The transcript is spliced from 3 exons. Lineage: Eukaryota; Metazoa; Mollusca; Gastropoda; Patellidae.